ACUCACGUUGGGCUCCCGCCCCUCCUGGUCCCUGAUUGGCUGCUGCUGGCCCCGCCCCUCGGCGCCUCGGCCAAUCCCGUGCUCCGCCGCCCGCAGCUCGGGCAGGGUCACGCCCUGGCCGGGGUCAGGGGUCACACAGGGGUCAGGGGUCACACAGGGGUCACCCAGGGGUCAGGGGUCACCCCGGGGUCACACAGGGGUCACCCCGGGGUCACCCAGGGGUCAGGGGUCACACAGGGGUCACACAGGGGUCAGGGGUCACCCAGGGGUCACCCCGGGGUCACACAGGGGUCAGGGGUCACCCAGGGGUCACCCCGGGGUCACACAGGGGUCAGGGGUCACACAGGGGUCACCCCGGGGGUUUUGGGGUGAAUCCAGAGAUUUCGGGGCGGUUUUGGGGCGAUUUUUGGGGGAUUUUUGGGGGAUUUUGGGGCGAUUUUGGGGCAGUUUUUGGGGUGAUUUUGGGGCAGUUUUUGGGGUGAUUUUGGGGCAGUUUUUGGGGUGAUUUUGGGGUGAUUUUGGGGCGAUUUUGGGGCAGUUUUUGGGGCGAUUUUGGGGCAGUUUUUGGGGUGGUUUUUUGGCAGUUUUGGGUCGGUUUUUUGGGUGAUUUCGGGGUUAUUUCUAGGGUGAUUUUGGGCAGUUUUGUGGCAGAUUUUGGGGCAAUUUUGGGCUGUUUUGUGGCAGUUUUUGAGGCAAUUUUGGACAGUUUUGGGGCAGAUUUUGGGGUGAUUUUGGCCGUUUUGGGGCGAUUUUUGGGCAGGUUUUUGGGUAGUUUUUUGGGCAGUUUUUGGGUCGAUUUUGGCUGUUUUUUGGGCAGAUUUUGGGUCGAUUUUGGCUGUUUCAGGUCAUUUUUUUGGUCAGUUUUUUGGGCAGAUUUUGGGUGGAUUUUUGGUCAGUUUUUGGGGCAGAUUUUGGGUGGAUUUUGGCCGUUUUCGGGUCAGUUUUUGGGUGGAUUUUGGCCGAUUUUGGGCAGAUUUUGGGUGGAUUUUUGGUCAGUUUUUGGGGCAGAUUUUGGGUGGAUUUUGGCCGUUUUCAGGUCAGUUUUUGGGUUGAUUUUGGCUGUUUUUUGGGCAGAUUUUGGGUGGAUUUUUGGUCAGUUUUUGGGGCAGAUUUUGGGUGGAUUUUGGCCGUUUUCAGGUCGGUUUUUGGGUGGAUUUU
This 1158-nucleotide long non-coding RNA is filed under the name Lonchura striata (white-rumped munia). Its description in RNAcentral is "domestica (Bengalese finch) lncRNA (ENSLSDG00000011275.1)". Lineage: Eukaryota; Metazoa; Chordata; Aves; Passeriformes; Estrildidae. The record is from RNAcentral.